CAAGGGUUGGGCUGUUCGCCCAUUAAAGCGGUACGUGAGCUGGGUUCAGACCGUUGUGAAACAGGUCGGUCUCUAUCCGCUGUGGGCGUUGGGAAUUUGCAGGGUGCUGCCCCUAGUACGAGAGGACCGGGGCGGACGCAGCGCUCGUGUACCGGUUGUCGCGCCAGCGGCAUCGCCGGGUAGCGAUCUGCGGUCGGGAUAACCGCUGAAAGCAUCUAAGUGGGAAGCCCACCUUAAGAUAAGAUUCCCCAUCCCCUUUGAGGGAGUAAGGCCGCUGGGAGACUACCAGCUGGAUAGGCGGGCGGUGGAAGCGCAGUAAUGUGUGUAGCCUACCCGUACUAAUGGCCGAGGGCUUUCUCUU
This 361-nucleotide ribosomal RNA is filed under the name Anaerolineaceae bacterium. Its description in RNAcentral is "partial 23S ribosomal RNA". It matches the Rfam family "Bacterial large subunit ribosomal RNA", at positions 2566 to 2925 of the family's 2925-position model. RNAcentral also lists the same sequence under 1 other name. Lineage: Bacteria; Bacillati; Chloroflexota; Anaerolineae; Anaerolineales; Anaerolineaceae. The record is from RNAcentral.